RNAcentral lists this transfer RNA (75 nucleotides) under Alphaproteobacteria bacterium. RNAcentral's name for it is "tRNA-Asn". It matches the Rfam family "tRNA". From Rfam's summary of the family: Transfer RNA (tRNA) molecules are approximately 80 nucleotides in length. Their secondary structure includes four short double-helical elements and three loops (D, anti-codon, and T loops). The record is from RNAcentral. Lineage: Bacteria; Pseudomonadati; Pseudomonadota; Alphaproteobacteria.
UCCCCGGUAGCUCAGCGGUAGAGCAUCCGGCUGUUAACCGGAUGGUCGUCUGUUCGAAUCAGACCCGGGGAGCCA